This 100-nucleotide small RNA is filed under the name Salmonella enterica. RNAcentral's name for it is "partial RtT sRNA". It matches the Rfam family "RtT RNA", at positions 32 to 130 of the family's 130-position model. Rfam says of the family: This family represents a bacterial cis-regulatory element known as RtT RNA. The exact function of RtT is unknown although it is thought that it may be involved in changing the cellular response in relation to amino acid starvation. RNAcentral also lists the same sequence under 4 other names. The record is from RNAcentral. Lineage: Bacteria; Pseudomonadati; Pseudomonadota; Gammaproteobacteria; Enterobacterales; Enterobacteriaceae.
GGGGCAGGAGGUUCGACUCGAGCGAAGCGAGAGAACGUUGCGUCAGCAACGGCCCGCAGGGCGAGUCACGCAGUGGCGAGUCAUCCUCUAUCACCGACCA